RNAcentral lists this ribosomal RNA (433 nucleotides) under uncultured bacterium. RNAcentral's name for it is "partial 16S ribosomal RNA". It matches the Rfam family "Bacterial small subunit ribosomal RNA", at positions 29 to 507 of the family's 1533-position model. The record is from RNAcentral.
AACGAACGCUGGCGGCAUGCCUAACACAUGCAAGUCGAACGAGACCUUCGGGUCUAGUGGCGCACGGGUGCGUAACGCGUGGGAACCUGCCCGUAGGUUCGGAAUAAUUCAGAGAAAUUUGAGCUAAUACCGGAUAACGUCCUCGGACAAAAGAUUUAACGCCCUUGGAUGGGCCCGCGAAGGUUUAGCUUGGUGGGGGGGUAAUGGCCUACCAAGGCGACGAUCCUUAGCUGGUCUGAGAGGAUGGUCAGCCACACUGGGACUGAGACACGGCCCAGACUCCUACGGGAGGCAGCAGUGGGGAAUAUUGGACAAUCGGCGAAAGCCUGAUCCAGCAAUGCCGCGUGAGUGAUGAAGGCCUUAGGGUUGUAAAGCUCUUUUACCAGGGAUGAUAAUGACAGUACCUGGAGAAUAAGCUCCGGCUAACUCCGUG